This 236-nucleotide ribosomal RNA is filed under the name uncultured bacterium. RNAcentral describes it as "partial 16S ribosomal RNA". It matches the Rfam family "Bacterial small subunit ribosomal RNA", at positions 118 to 350 of the family's 1533-position model. The record is from RNAcentral.
UGGGUGAUCUGCCCUGCACUUCGGGAUAAGCCUGGGAAACUGGGUCUAAUACCGGAUAUGAUCAUGCGCCUCCUGGUGUGUGGUGGAAAGCUUUUGCGGUGUGGGAUGGGCCCGCGGCCUAUCAGCUUGUUGGGUGGGUAAUGGCCUACCAAGGCGUCGACGGGUAGCCGGCCUGAGAGGGUGUCCCGGCCACACGUGGGACUGAGAUACCGGCCCAGACCUCCGUACGGGAGGCA